AGUUCGAUUAUGGCUCAGAUUGAACGCUGGCGGGAUGCUUUACACAUGCAAGUCGAACGGCAGCACGGACUUCGGUCUGGUGGCGAGUGGCGAACGGGUGAGUAAUGUAUCCGGAACGUGCCUAGUAGCGGGGGAUAACUACGCGAAAGCGUAGCUAAUACCGCAUACGCCCCUUCGGGGGAAAGCGGGGAGACCUUCGGGCCUCGCACUAAUAGAAAGCGGCCGAUAUCAGGUUGGCUAGUUGGUGGGGUAGCGGCUCUGGGCGACGAUCCCGUAGCUGGUUUGAGAGGACGACCGAAGCACAGGACUGAGAUUUUUGGCCCGAACUCCUACGGAGAGCAGCAGUGGGGAAUUUUGGACAAUGGGGGAAACCCUGAUCCAGCCAUCCCGCGUGUGCGAUGAAGGCCUUCGAUUUGUAAAGCACUUUUGGCAGGAAAGAAACGGCACGGGAUAAUACCCCGUGCAACUGACGACACCUGCAGAAUAAGCGCAAGCUAACUACGUGCCAGCAGCCGCGGUGUGCAUGGUGCGGCGUUAAUCGGAAUUACUGGGCGUAAAGCGUGCGCAGGCGGUUUGAAGAAGAUCGUAAAAUCCCAGAGCUUAACUUUGGAACUGCAUUUUUAACUACCGAGCUGAAGAGUGUGUCAGAGGAGGUGGAAUUCCGCGUGUAGCAGUGAAAUGCGUAGAUAUGCGGAGAACACCACGAUGGCGAAGGCAACCUCCUGGGAUAACACUGACGCUCAUGCAGCGUGGGAGCAAACAGGAUUAGAUACCCUGGUAGUCCACGCCUAAACGAUGUCAACUAGCUGUUGGGGCCUUCGGGCCUUGGUAGCGCAGCUAACGCAGUUGACCGCCUGGGAGAGUACGGUCGCAAGAUUAAAACUCAAAAGGAAUUGACGGGGACCCGCACAAGCGGUGGAUGAUGUGGAUUAAUUCGAUGCAGCAUGAAGAACGCACUACCCUUGACAUGUCUGGAAUCACGAAGAGAUUUGAGAUAUGUAAGAGGAACAGAUUUUGAAUGCUGCAUGGCUGUCGUCAUCGUGUCGUGAGAUCUUGGAUUGAUCCGCAACGAGCGCAACCCUUGUGUUGGUUAUACGAGGCACUCUAUUAGGGCCAUGAUGACAAUGGAGGAAGGUGGGGAUGACGUCAGUCCUCUUAUUCCACUUAUCGGGUAGGGCUUCACACGUCAUACAAUGGUGGGACGAGAAGUUGCCCAACCCGCGAGGGGGUAAUCCCAGAAACCCGAUCGUAGUCCGGAUCGCAGUCUGCAACUCGACUGCGUGAAGUCCGGAAUCGCUAGUAAUCGCGGAUCAGCAUGUCGCGGUGAAUACGUUCCCGGGUCUUGUACACACCGCCCGUCACACCAUGGGAGUGGGUUUUACCAGAAGUAGUUAGCCUAACCGUAAGGAGGGCGAUUACCACGGUAGGAUUCAUGACUGGGGUGAAGUCGUAACAAGGUAG
RNAcentral lists this ribosomal RNA (1461 nucleotides) under uncultured Bordetella sp. RNAcentral describes it as "partial 16S-23S ribosomal RNA intergenic spacer". It matches the Rfam family "Bacterial small subunit ribosomal RNA". Lineage: Bacteria; Pseudomonadati; Pseudomonadota; Betaproteobacteria; Burkholderiales; Alcaligenaceae. The record is from RNAcentral.